GAUGAAGAACGCAGUGAAAUGCGAUAAGUAAUGUGAAUUGCAGAAUUCAGUGAAUCAUCGAAUCUUUGAACGCACCUUGCGCCCUUUGGCAUUCCGAAGGGCAUGCCUGUUUGAGUAUCAUGAACACCUCAACUCUUCAUGGUUUUCCAUGAUGAGCUUGGACUUUGGGGGUCUUGCUGGCCUGCGGUCGGCUCCUCUCAAAUGAAUCAGCUUACCAGUGUUUGGUGGGCAUCACAGGUGUGAUAACUAUCUGCGCUUGUGGUUUUCCACCAAGUAACCUUCAGCAGUGGAGGUUCACUGGAGCUCACAGACGUCUCUCCUCAGUGAGGACAGCCCUUUGAAUGUUUGAUCUCAAAUCAGGUAGGACUACCCGCUGAACUUAAGCAUAUCAAUAAGCGGAGGA
This 403-nucleotide unclassified non-coding RNA is filed under the name soil metagenome. RNAcentral describes it as "partial contains 5.8S ribosomal RNA, internal transcribed spacer 2, and large subunit ribosomal RNA". The stretch from base 1 to 120 matches the Rfam family "5.8S ribosomal RNA", at positions 35 to 154 of the family's 154-position model. The record is from RNAcentral.